ACUCCUACGGGAGGCAGCAGUAGGGAAUCUUCCACAAUGGGCGCAAGCCUGAUGGAGCAACACCGCGUGAGUGAAGAAGGGUUUCGGCUCGUAAAGCUCUGUUGUUAAAGAAGAACACGUAUGAGAGUAACUGUUCAUACGUUGACGGUAUUUAACCAGAAAGUCACGGCUAACUACGUGCCAGCAGCCGCGGUAAUACGUAGGUGGCAAGCGUUAUCCGGAUUUAUUGGGCGUAAAGAGAGUGCAGGCGGUUUUCUAAGUCUGAUGUGAAAGCCUUCGGCUUAACCGGAGAAGUGCAUCGGAAACUGGAUAACUUGAGUGCAGAAGAGGGUAGUGGAACUCCAUGUGUAGCGGUGGAAUGCGUAGAUAUAUGGAAGAACACCAGUGGCGAAGGCGGCUACCUGGUCUGCAACUGACGCUGAGACUCGAAACGCAGUGGGUAGCGAACAGGAUUAGAUACCCUGGUAGGAUACG
RNAcentral lists this ribosomal RNA (474 nucleotides) under uncultured bacterium. RNAcentral's name for it is "bacterial SSU rRNA". It matches the Rfam family "Bacterial small subunit ribosomal RNA", at positions 335 to 799 of the family's 1533-position model. The record is from RNAcentral.